GGCCUGAGAGGGUGAUCCCCCACACUGGUACUGAGACACGGACCAGACUCCUACGGGAGGCAGCAGUGAGGAAUAUUGGACAAUGGGUGCGAGCCUGAUCCAGCCAUCCCGCGUGAAGGACGACGGCCCUAUGGGUUGUAAACUUCUUUUGUAUAGGGAUAAACCUACCCUCGUGAGGGUAGCUGAAGGUACUAUACGAAUAAGCACCGGCUAACUCCGUGCCAGCAGCCGCGGUAAUACGGAGGGUGCAAGCGUUAUCCGGAUUUAUUGGGUUUAAAGGGUCCGUAGGCUGAUGUGUAAGUCAGUGGUGAAAUCUCACAGCUUAACUGUGAAACUGCCAUUGAUACUGCAUGU
This 354-nucleotide ribosomal RNA is filed under the name bacterium LimC-10-A-239. Its description in RNAcentral is "bacterial SSU rRNA". It matches the Rfam family "Bacterial small subunit ribosomal RNA", at positions 289 to 640 of the family's 1533-position model. The record is from RNAcentral. RNAcentral also lists the same sequence under 26 other names.